This 568-nucleotide long non-coding RNA is filed under the name Androctonus crassicauda. Lineage: Eukaryota; Metazoa; Arthropoda; Arachnida; Scorpiones; Buthidae. The record is from RNAcentral.
GAAGAAAUCUUUUGAGUCAUCCUAUAUACUGCAAAUGGGGCAUAUAGGAUGACUCAAAGAUUAUAGAGUGUUUUAUAAUUGAGAUAUUAACUUAAUAAUUUUCAGAACCAUAUAAAUAAUUUUCAGAACCAUAUAAAUAAUUUUCCUUUCUUAUUUCCAUCUUGAUCACUCCAAAUUUGUGAUUAUUUAGUAAAAAAAGAAUGACAAGAGAUUAAAAACUUGUGAUCAGUUGUUUUGAUUUUUCUAUUCAUAGAGUGAAUAGUUUUCAUCUAUAUUGAUGUUAGCUUACUAUUACAAUUUUGUCCUGAUCAGGCAUUACUAUAAUACAGUGAUGGGCAAACUACGGCCUGCGGGCCACAUGUGGCCCGCCACGACAAUAUGUACGGCCCAAGAUCUGUGUACAAGUGUAAGAAUUUUACAAGUGUAUUUGUACAAGUGUAAGAAUUUAGUCUUUAGAAAAAUCUGGUAUCUGCCCCACUCGAUUUUCCGAUAUAUUUGAAUAUGUAACCUAUUGAGGGGCAACAAAUUUUGAGGCAGUAGCGGUGGUAGAGAGCGGCCGUGAAAAUUC